Molecule: non-coding RNA, 166 nt
Organism: Helianthus annuus (common sunflower)
Lineage: Eukaryota; Viridiplantae; Streptophyta; Magnoliopsida; Asterales; Asteraceae
Source: Rfam
GUCACGGCGGUUUUCUGAUUCGCUUGGUACAGGUCGGGAACGGCGUCGCCGGCGAUGGCAGUUUUGUAACUUUGCGCACCGGAAGGUGAAACGGUGUCGUAGAGGAUUUGUUUUCGGUGAUUACUGGUCCCGCCUUGGAUCAACUGAAUCAGAAACCGGAGUGAAU